RNAcentral lists this long non-coding RNA (782 nucleotides) under Mytilus galloprovincialis (Mediterranean mussel). The record is from RNAcentral. Lineage: Eukaryota; Metazoa; Mollusca; Bivalvia; Mytilida; Mytilidae.
UAUUGCAUGUACUAACAAUGUUAUAUCUUUUGUUUUGUUCAUUUAUGUUAUACCUUCACUCUUAGAGAGUUGGGGAAGAUACUUUGCAUUUACCUUUUCCUUUCGUCUGUCUGUCUACCUGUUCAUCAAACAAUUUUUUCUUCAGUAUUACCUAAAAAGAAUAACUUUAUAUUUAAUCAGCACUUCAACAUUGAUGAGUUUCUACUGGUGAGGACUUUUUGGAUCUGUACAACACCUACUUCUUGUUUUCUAGUUCUUUGAAUUACUAGUGGGGGUAUGCUUAUAUAACAGAACCACAUUGCAUGCAUUUUUGUUUACAUGUGUUUAGGUUUUUUAUUAGUUACAUGUGUCUUUGUUUGUUAUUUUAUUUGUUGAAGCGUAGAUGACUAAAGAGCCUGGCUUUGAACAUCUAUUGUUAAAGUAUUUUUUACAUAUAUAUAUUAGUCUUUAUAGGCAUCAGAAUUCCACAUGUUUUGUAUAAAUAUACCUGAUAAGUGAUGGUAGGUAUAAAACAUACAAAUUGAAAUCGUUAACUUUUAUUAACAGAAAGUUUGUCUCAUAUAUAUAUAGUGUAUCCUUGUAAUAGUGACCAUUUUUGGGCUAAGCCACCAAUAGUUAUAGAUUCUAUAUAUUUAUAAGAAAGGUUCUUUAUCAAUACAAUCUAAAUAUAUAGUUCAUUACAGUUCUUUCACAUUGAGUUCACAGCAAUCUACCUUAUGAGAUGUCUUAAGAUUUUGUCAAUCAUUCAUUUAUUUAUUUAUCUAUUACAUUAUAAUUCCGAC